AUUGAACGCUAGCGGGAUGCUUUACACAUGCAAGUCGAACGAGAGGAGGACGGGUGAGUAAUAUAUCGGAACGUGACCAGUAGCGGGGGAUAAAUACUAGAAAGAGUGGCUAAAACCGCAUACUAUUGGCGCGGCCGAUAUCGGAUUAGCUAGUUGGUGGGGUAAAGGCUCACCAAGGAAAAGAUCCGUAGCUGGUUUGAGAGGACGACCAGCCACACGUGGACUGAGACACGGCCCAGACUCCUACGGUAGGCAGCAGUGGGGAAUUUUGGACAAGGGGGGAAACUCUGAUCCAGCCAUCCCGCGUGUAUGAGAAGGCCUUCGGGUUGUAAAGUCCUUUUGGCAGAGAAGCGGUAUCUGCAGAAUAAGCACCGGCUAACUACGUGCCAGCAGCCGCGGUAAUAC
Molecule: ribosomal RNA, 405 nt
Filed under: uncultured bacterium
Lineage: Bacteria
Description: partial 16S ribosomal RNA
Rfam family: Bacterial small subunit ribosomal RNA
Source: RNAcentral